AUACAUAGACCGAAAUGUCCGGUACAAAGCCAUCAGAAAAUCGGGCACCAUGUCUUCUUCUUCAUUUUGAAGAAAAUACCCCUCGUGGGUGACGAAUUACAUAAAUAUUUUACGAGCGCUGACUUACCCCUCUCGACGUUUUGACAGUUUGUCUGAUUUGUUUUUCUCCCUCACCUUGCGUCGUCGUUUCAGUUUUGAAUCACAUAUUUCACAUAUUUUUGCCAUAAAAUUUAGUAUCCUUAUUCGUAUUACAUCACAAAGAUCCGAGAUAUCCGGGACGAACAGAACGACAUAAACUAGACAAUAGUUUGCAUCAUAAUGCUGGCAGUGUGGCCGCUCGCCUUGUUUGAAACUAGAACCAUUAGAAGGUGUUCGGAAUUAGCAGUUUGUACUGAAAAAUACCCAGACAAAGUUGGACGAGAUUCGCCGUUAAUCUCGUCGUUUGAUUUGGGUAUCGUGCAGUCCUUAGGAUGACAUCAGCUCGAGCCAAAAUCACUCUGGAAACACGGGAAACACAAAUCCACUAGUAUCAAAGAGGAAAAACCAUAUUCAACCCGAUUCCAGGAAAGCGGCUGGUAGCUCAUUUACCAUCGACCCAUCUCCGCAGCCAUCAAACCACAUAUUUUCCUGUAUGGAAAAGUGUUUCCUUGUACUGAAUACCUAUAGGAUUUGUUUGCACUAGCCGAAGCACUAUUACGUCGAUUACCUACCUGACAGCGUUUAGCAUUGAUCAAGAUGGAUGAAACCACGACACCAAGGAAGAAAACUUCACCACGAUUUCUACUUCGAAUUACAGCCUACUUUAAUCAAAAGCUUCACUUCAAACGACGUCAGGAUUAAGAUUUCAGUGAAGUCGGAAACCAUGGACAAGCUAUAUUUACAUAGUUUUAAAUAUGCCGAUCACAUUUUCAUUCACGACUGGCAAAAAAGACCCCCUCUGUUAACACCUGAAGGGAAUCAAGUCGGUGGAGCCGCACAAGUUAGUUGACGGAGUUUACGGAAUAUUGCACCACCAGAAAUAACAGUUCAAGGGAGUCUUCGUACUACUAUCAUUACAGCCGGCACAGCUCCCCGGAUGUCGCACAACUUAGUUCAUCUUUUGCAUUUGCACCAGUCCCAGUUUUGGUUGGGAUACGACAUCUGGGUAUACCAAUAUCUAAUCAAUUACAGUCGGGAUUCGCUGGUUGGGAUCUUAAUACUUGGGUCACUUUUUAGUUGGCCCUCCGCUGGUUGGGCCAUGGCCCAACUAAAAAGCAACUGUACGUCAAAAUUCAAUGUAAACACGGAAAACGGGAUUGGGCGUCACUGGACAUCAUUUGUGAUGUUCAAGUCGAAAUACACGUAUUCAAAUGGCUGUCAGUUGACCCAACUAAAAAACCGAAUUCGUUAGUUGGUCCGAGGUCGUGGCCCAACCAGCGAAUCGCGACUGUAUUCGAAUCAACCGGAAAUCGAUGUCCUACGCCUCGGGACCUCAACGAAUGCUGUCAAACUUGGACCGAGAUACUCGAUGAAGCAAAAGCGCUCCCAAUACACGCAUAGACUACCAAAAAUGAACUGAGAUCCGGUGAGGAAAAUAGCGGAUCAUUGGAACCACAGCUAUGCUGGAUGUCAAAAAGUUUAGUUGCCGCCAGAGCAGAUACAGUAACAUUUACAGCAACAACAUAGCGGCCAAAGCAAUGAGCUGAAAUACUAGGACCGAGGGAAAAGUAUCCGGGUUUGAACCUGCCUACAGCAGUUGAGCAUUUUGCAGUUGUAGACGGUCAGAAAAGCAAAUCGGAAACGUCAAUGAAAAAGAAAGCCAAUACAUGCCCUUAUCGAAUUCUCAAAGGAAAAGGGUCAGCAGCUGUCUUCUUCACCGAAAUACAGCAACGCGUUGCAAAGAAAUAUUACUACUUUUGAAAAAGAAGGUCUGUAGAAAAUAUCAACUAUCAAGCAAGCUGCUUUCCAGGGUAUCCCCACCUUUCAAGAGUUCGGCGAAACACAGAAGCGGGUAACCGACGAAGCCAUAAAAAAGGAUAACUGCUAUCGAAGCAGAAGUUUGCACUAUAAUAUUUGGAGAAGACAAACACGUGGAAUACGCAUGUAGAAAAUGUGGAACCGUCGACUUGCACAACGAAACCGUUAGAGUGCCAACUUGUUGACGAGGGAAAGAAGCAAAAGACUAACCGGGAAUCAACUAGUAGAAACAAGAGAAUGAUCAGGAUUUCAGUGGAUGCAUAAAAGGGCUGGCAAGAGCAACCUGAAUGGAAAAUAAAGCCGCGUCUGGUGCAACUGCAUAAAGCUGUGGAUCGUGAAUACUCUCCUCUCCAUCAAAUGCUCAAAAACAAUGUACGUUAGCUGGUUUCCGACGGCAUGUAUGAGUUAAUCCUAUUGCUGUCGAACCAAAGUGACCUCGCGACAAUCAGCACAGUUGCAAAGAACUGUGCAUCAUUGAUACAUGUCUUUCCAUUAAAUGCGUGAACAAAAACACUCGUCAGCAACAUGAAUUCACUGACAUAACCAUGAAUGUACGAAAGCUAUCAUAAGACGCGGAACAAACCACAUGUAGACGCCCAACAGUAAAUUGAACAGUAGACUGCAGGAACGGGUCUACUACAAAAAGCCAAAUAUGCUUGUUAGGUCUGUAAACUGGAUACACAACCAUAGAAUAUUGCUUCAUAAAAUUGCGAGAUUCAAUCACCUGUAACUGUUUUUUUUUUCACCGGACCCACAACCUAAGUACAUAUUUGUUAUUUCGCAACCGUUGUAUAAUAAUAUAAUUUUAUUAUUAAUUCAAAGAAUGGAAAACGAGUGAUACAAAAAUACUGUUUUGAACAUCAACAAUUUUUAAUAAAAUAUAAGUUUUA
This is a long non-coding RNA of Armigeres subalbatus, 2846 nucleotides long. RefSeq lists it as uncharacterized. NCBI's taxonomy places the organism in Eukaryota, Metazoa, Arthropoda, Insecta, Diptera, Culicidae. The record is from RefSeq and is a predicted model, not a curated record. The transcript is spliced from 6 exons.